Non-coding RNA from Rattus norvegicus (Norway rat), 24421 nucleotides. The record is from RefSeq and is a predicted model, not a curated record. Lineage: Eukaryota; Metazoa; Chordata; Mammalia; Rodentia; Muridae.
UGAAUGGAGCAUGGCCAGAAAGGGUCUCUGGAAGAUUCUGUAGGGACUUGGGGCAGUGGGGGGAGAUCAUCAUGAUGGAUGGGUGUGGCUAGAAAUGGUCUCAAGAAGCCAACUGAGUGUUAGUAUGAUGUGGGUCUGAUAGACCGCCUCUUCGGGCAGCCUGCCCUCCCGAUGGGCUUCCAUUUCCAUCGACGCAAGCACAAGUUCGAGGCCUCCUGGAUCGAGUUGUUCUUUGAUAUUUAAAAGGUAGAUUCUCCUUCUAUGAGUACAAUAUUAAUGACUAAUCGUAGAGGAAAAUCCACGUUUUCAGUAUCAAAUGCUGCUUGGGAAACCACCGAGGACAAGACGUCAUCAUGGAAGAAAGCAUGCUCUCCGUCGUCUUCCUGGGUUUGGCGGGGAUAGAUAGAUUUGUGAUUUGUGUAGUGUGUGUGCCCAUGUGCCAGCUUCUCCCAGUGAUGUGUUCUGAGACCACUGUGUUCUUAGUAUCCCUUCCCUGACCUCAGACGAAGUUGUUUCUCUGUGCGUUCCCCAUGGGUAUGAUAUGUUUUCUGGAAUCAGCUUCUUUUUCAGUAGCAGCGAGUCUUGGAGACUGCCUGGGUGGGCCAUCAUUUUGGGUAAGGGCACCUUGGGUCACCCUUUGGGGGAUGUAGGGGGGGAGAAGGGGCAUGUGAGUCAUCUGGGUGUGUCACCUCCAAAUGUGUCCCCCUCAGGCUCUCUUCUGGACUGUCAUCGCACCCAUCAUCACACCGGACCAGCUCUCCCCAGCGCUCCUUAUCGUUUGCUACUUGAAGAGAGGUUAUCCUUUGUGUGUUUGCUUUACGCGAAAUGAAUAUGCAAGGGCAAGCUCUCUUCGAGGAGCAAAUGCUGCCUGGAAGCAAGGCUGGCGGCCUGGGCCUACCAGAAGGGCACGGUCACUCCAGGGUAAGUAAAUGCAUGCAGCGGGCCAUGGAGCAUGGGCGCCUUCUGCGACUGACCCUCCAGCUCUCAUGCACGUUUCUGAGAACUUUCUAGAAAAGAUGCUGACUUGGGAGAUCAUAAGGGCUUUUCUUGGCAGAGCCAAGGAAACUGUGCCUCCCCUUCUGGCCGCCCUUCACUGUGUUAUGUGCAUGCCAAUCAUCUUCUAAAAUCAAAAGAGUGUCAGCAGCAAGCCAGUGCCCAUUUAGAUGUGGGUUCUGCCCUCCAUGCUUAGAAUCACCUUUAAGGCUUCCUGUCCACUUAAGGAAAAGGGGGUUGGUGGAUGCCCAAAGUAAAGAUGGCCCCAGAGGCUACUAAACCAUUAAGCUUCCAUGCCCAGGUGUCCUCCUUGCCCUUUGUGUCCCAGCAUGAACUAAGGUUAGAGAACAUUGGUUCUUGGGGUGGGGGUUGGGCAUCUCACCUCCCUUCGGUGAGCCUCCCACUGGGCGGAUGUUUAUAGUGAUAAGUCACUGCUCCUGUGGUCCUCUGAACUCCCCAGGAAGGGCAGAAGGAAAGGCCAAUAGUCUCCACACUGCUCCAGUUUGGGGAGGGGGUGGGGGCUCUCAGAGAGUUAGUUUUCCGGUUUUCCUUCUUUCUCGAAUGAUGCAUGUUGCUGUGGGUUCUAAUCCUGCUCUUUCCAUGGCCAUCUGGAGGACUUCCUGGAGGCUGCAGCUGUGGGAACAGGUGGAGGUUUUCUUGCCAGGGUGGCUCUCAGUCACUUUAUUAAGUUACACAGGAUUUUCCCCCACCCCAUCCCACCCUCCCACCCCUAGUCACUUGGACGAUCAUCCUGGUUUGGAGUGAUACCGAGAAGUAAACUAACUUCAGGGCUGGGUACCAGUGUGCAGAGUGUCCAGCAAAUUCCAGAGCCAAUCAGCUGAGACUUGCCCCACCAACCCUGUGCUCCACCCAAGGCCGACAGGGCACUGUUCCCUGGCCCAACAUUUGGUACCCGUAAGGAGGACAGCCUCUUUAUUUUAUCACUUUAUUGAUGGUGAUAUACAGCAAGAGACACUUAUCCUCUCUCACCCCGUCGGGGAAGCCCUCCAGCCCUCCUCCAUCUUUGGGACAGCUACAAUGUGACUUCGGACCUUCUCAGGUACGUCCCAAUUCUUGGUUCUAGAAUGGGAAUGCUGGCUAAGCUACUAAUCUCUGGUCUUUCUUGUCUUCUUGGUGCCUGAUCUUUUUCUCCUGUGGGGGGUGGGCACUCCAGUGCCUGUUGCACUUGCUUUGAGUAUGAUCACCCAACAGUGGCUCGCUUCGUAAAGGGCAGUGGUCCACAGACCUGCGGUCUGUUUGUGCCAGCCCUUCUCCACAGCUGCUCACUGCAUUAACCUUAAAAGAGAAACUGUGAAACUAGACUAUCCCAGCUUUGAUGCCAGUAAUGGUCUACACAUCUUUGUUUAUAGAGGCUUCAGGCCCACUCCACCAGUCUCCAAGUCAGGACUUCCUGGAAGUAAUGUCUGUCUUUGGGAAGAGGCUGAAGUUUGCUGCCUACCUGGUGUUUUUCUGUAGCUGUAGCUGUAUCAGAAGGAGACAUUUCUAACAGCCCACCCCAGAAGAAAGGAAAGCAAGCCAUCCCGUCAGACAAAGGUGAGUGUUUCUCCUGGCCAUGAUUUCCUGCUCACCUGUGGUCACCCCUGCCUGCUCAUUUCUGGGGAAGUGGUCCCAAAAGGGGAGAUGGUUCCACUCUUCAUUGGCAUGUGGAGUUUGACCCCUGCGCAACAUCAGUUUUUCUCCUAAUUUUGUUCCAUUCCAGUGUCGGGCAGAAUUAGUGGGGCAGGGUCCGGUCCUGGGAGUGAUCCUGAUGUCCAUGACUUAGGGUGGCAGGAAGGGUUGGUUUUAUCUCCUCUAUAAACUCAUUGGGCUCUCUUGCCCUGUGAUGUGCAGUGUACAGCCCAAGCGGGCAAUCAUGGAGGAAGUGCUAAGGAAAAGAUUGUGGUCCUAGGCAGGGUCUUCUUCCCCCGGAGAGUGAAAAAUCUGAGUUCUGUAUUUCCUGAGAGAUCCAUGAUGCUGGUCCUUUUCAGCAGAGUGGAAAAAUCUCAAUCUGUUAUAGCACCUGCCAGUAAUAUUAGGAAAAGGUGUCCCCUCCCCUGACCCCCAGUGUCUGUCCCAGCCCAAGCUCCCUGUGGAGAGCUGCCCAGCGGGCACACAUCUGGCAGGUGGUGUCUGCCACCUAAUUGGCUGAUUCCGAAUCUCCCAUCACUCCUCAGGCUGAGUCCCAGGCGACGAGGCUGACCCCGUGAAUGCUAGAGCGGAACCUGCCCCAUGCUAUUGUUUGGUACUUAAAGCGAGGUUGCCCUUUGUAUAUUCGGUUUAUUGACAUGGGAUAUACAAGGGCAAGCUCUCUGUGAGCAUCAAACCUUAUCUUGGAUCCUGUCCACACUCAGCGAGGGAUGUGGUAUGUGUGUGCAUGGCCGUGCAUAUCCAUCUUGUGUGUGGUUUGGCAAACCGCUUCCUGGGUUUCCAUUGUGCACCAGCGGCUUCAUGGGUGCAAGAUGACAUCACAUCAGGAAAGGCCUUGGGUACAACAUCCCCUCUCCUUGUUCGCUAUGGGUGGGUCCCAAAGCAUGCGCUGUGUGUGGCCUGGGUCCCUGCUUUUCCAGGCCGAUAGUCAGGUCUGUGCUGGCGUGGUGUUUUGAUGUUCUGUCACGACGUGGUGCCCAAGUGUGCAUGUUCUUGCUCGGUGUGUGUGACCCGGUCCGCUAACGCUCGGCGUCUAAUUCGUCCCCAGGACCCCACCUGGAAGACGUAGCACGUCUACCUGAGGCGGUGGCUUCCCUUUCCAGGCCGAGCUUUGGUACUUGGAGAGUGGUUAUCCCUGUCCUCUUCGCUUCACUUAUGCCGAAUCGUACAGGGUCAUCCACUUUUUCAGUAUCAAGUGCACAGACUCUGCAGCCUGGCUUCCCGCGCCCGGAUCCUGCCUCUGACACUUCCCACCGUACACCCUUGGACAAGGGUGUCAUCGUGCUAUGCUCCUUGUCUCGCGUGUCACACGGGGAGUCAUACUGGGGUCCGACGCAUAUAGCUGCCGGGGUUGGGAGGGAUCAGGCUCUCCUAGGGACUAGGCUCAUCAUUGACCAUGUGCCAGCCCGAACGCUUGUGUGCCGUGAGCUGACUACCGGUAGCUGCAGUGGUGUUAUGCAAAGCUAUCCCUGGAUUCGGGAGUCGUCAAUGUUGAGACAGACAUUCUCUGUCAGAUAUGUGAGUGGGUGUUGAAGCUUAGAGUUUGUGCUGGACAUAUAAGGAGACCAGUGGAGCUUGUGGUGCUCAGUAGUGACAUCGUUUCUAAGGUGGCUUCUAGAACAGGAGACCGACCCCAUGCUGUGGGGUCAACAGGGCUGCCCACAAUGCUUGCCCAUCUCGCCUCCCUGGUGCUCAAAAUGCCCAUCGGUAGUAGUGCAUGCGUGGUGCACGUAUGUGUUGGGUACAGCCGGGUGUGGGGAGUGGUGGUCACUCCCAAGAGUGACCGACGGAUGCUGGCAUUCCUGCUGUGCUACUGUUUCAUACUUGAGGAGAAAUUAUCCUUGGUGUGUUUGCUCUUUUGGAUGAAUCAUACAAGGGUAAUUUCUUUUCGAGUAUCAAAUACUGCCCUGGCGGACUUCCUGGAUGACAAGAUGGUUGUGUAAAGGGCUGCAUGGUGCAUGGUGCAUGGAUUAGCCUUACCUGGACACAAGGCAAGAGAGCACAGAGCUAAUGUAUAGGAGAUGCACUUUGACCCACCUCAGGACCUUGCCUGAUGAAUCCAGGGGUUCCUACAUGGCUUGGUCAUGGGUAGGUGACAUAGUUUUCAUGACUUAGAAAAUAGUGGGUUUUUUUUUUUUUUUUGGUUGGAAAGCCAGUCUCAGAGAUAGUCACUGGGGUCAGACCCCUGUCUCUGGCUCAAGAGUGUGACUGGCUCCACAAGCAUGUGCUUGACUCUUUUUGAGUGACACUGGCCUGCUAGCCAUGUGGCGUGGACCAUGAGAGAUCUAGAGGAGCCCCUGCCCUUGGAGGAGAUGCUAAGGUUUUCUUGAUGCUGUGGUUCUCUGACACUGAAUGGCCAUCCGUAGUGUGUUCUCCAUAUUUCUGAUGAUUAAUGUGGGGUGACCAUUGUCUGUCCCAUAUCUGAAUUUGCUUCAGAAGGUUCUAGAGCACAGUGGUGACUUCAGCUAAUGGACGUUGGUACCUGCUGCAGAGAGAAAGAGAAUUUAUUGAGGCCUCUUCUUAAUAAAUGCAGUGACUUCAGGAUGCACCCCUCCUCCCUUGUGCUCUCACACCGACAACUUUGAGGUGGCAACAGCUUUGGUGGCUUAGUUCUUUGUGCUUGGUUUGGGAGACACUGAGACUAACUCACCUGUCUGUUGUUGCUGUUAAAUCUUAAUCCAGAGGAACUCCUUGCGAAGGUACCGGGUCAAGCAUCUCUUUAGAUAGACAGAACUUGUCCAGGAUCUUCUAGGUCCAGCACCCACUCUCCUCAGCAUCCAUUCCGAGCAUGGACCGCCUGUGGUUAAUACAAUUGUUACUAAGGAUACCUCCCGCCGCCCCCGCCGCCGCUGCUUUAAGUCGCUCUUUAUCUGUUCUAUGGCUUAUUCUUACUAUGGCUUCGUUGGGGCUGACCUUUUCUUAGACAUACCUGGUCAAUAGCAUACCAUUUCAGUUCAUUCCAUAACCUGGUGUGUGUGUGUGUGUGUGUGUGUGUGUGUGUGUGUGUGUGUGUGUGUGUGUGUGCCUGCAGGUAUGCAAGUAUGUGUGUGUGUGCGUGUGUGUGCGUGUGUAUGUGUGUGCACAUGCAUGUAUGCCUGUACAAAUUGUUGGUUAGGGUAGGGGCUUUCAAACUGCUCAAUGCGGCUAAGAUAUUCGUCACCUAGGGAUCUUGUUAAAAAGCAGAUUCUGAUUGAGGGACCAAGAUUCUGCAUUUUUAGCAAGCUCUCAAGUGAUGCUAAUGCUGCCGGUCUGUGGACAACACUCGUAGCCACUGGGGGCUGGAGGUGAUGUUGCAUGUUACUCGUAGUGUGUGUGCGCCAUCUCCUCCAUCGUCCCUACAUUAUCCAUCACCAGUGAGCAUUGAGCCAAUAUGCUACCUUUUGAUGAUUGAACUGCAGUUCAGUUGUGAAAGGCCACCUUCUGUACAAACAACAUGUGAUUACUCUUUCAAAUCACAUCAUGCCUCCGUGGGCUUCCCAGAUAGAAGAGCUACUUCAAGGAGGGGCUGCCUAUGUGAGCCCCCUUCAGGACUUGUCAGCACCAGGUUAUUGAUGACUGAGACCGUCUGACUCUGUAACCCUCCAUUUCCAGUCAAUUCUAAGGAGCAGUUCCUGGAACCACAGCUUCUGGGACAGGAGGAGGAGUCCUAUCUGUUGUAUCCAUCAGCAACACUCCGUGUUAUUGAGAGAGGUAAUACCCAUGAUGCCAUUGCUCUUCUGUGAUAUUCCACCAGCUGCUGGCUUCUUGUCAUCCAGCUUACCUCUCAGGGAAUACCCACAUAGGUUUCCAUUUCUUUUCUAAAGUGGCCUUAGGAAGCUUCCUGAACCUGGCUCUAGUGGGUAUCACUUUUGCUCUCAGACCAGAUUUUGGCCCUAGGACUAAUGUGUAGCAGUGAGUGGUUCAUAUCAGCUCAUAUGCUUUGCUUUCUUACAGACAGUAGGCAUUUACUUCUUAGGCUAGGGAUGCAAUUUGUCAUGGGAAGAAUCUUCUGGAAGCAAAGGUGGCAGUAGACAAGAGGCUCUGAUUUUCCUGUCAGAGCUCUCCCAGGUUAUUUGAGGUCAUUCAUAUUCUGUUUGCUUAUUGUCAAUGAGACAAGCCUCCUUUUUAAUCUCAAACUCUGGCUUUUUUUUUAAGGGCUCCCUGCACAAGAGGUGUGCGACUGCAUGCCUUGUGUGAGCCUCUGAUGAGCCCUGCAUCUUCUUCAGGCUAUGCUUGGAUAUUGCUGAUGAAGAAGACCCAAAGAAGCUUGGUCCUGCUUGCAGUGAAUUCGCUGUGCUUUUCCAAAUACCCUUCGUUUUUCCUACUCCAUCAGUUUUCAGUGCUGGGAUGUGCUCGAAGGGUGAGCUGAUGCCAGGCCUUCCCCAGCCAGGAGUUGAGGGCCAAAUCCCUUCUUGAUAGCUAGGCAGCAGGGAGAAGACAUGAGAUGCUUAAGAAGUAGUCACAUUUCCCCUGGGGACAGGCUGGUUUUCAGAGUUACAUCCAUUCAAAACACGCCCACAGAAUUCAAUUGUGAAGGACAAGCCAACUUGACCCUGUUCUUUUGUUCUCACCGAGGUCCUGUCCUUGGCAUCUACUUCGUCCUCUGGUAGACACCAGCGAGGUGCAGUCACUACCCUGAUGGGGCUUCCUGACCUGCUGUUUGGCUGUGGAAGAGACUUGACUCCUUUCUUUUUGUGCUGGUGGAGAUCACAUGCAGAAGGUAAAGAGAACCAUGCUUUUUUUUUGGAUUCUGGAAGAGGGAGGUUGGCCCAUAUCCCCAAGAUAAGGAAAGAUGCUGUUCUCUGGGUCUCUCACCUUCAGGGAUGAUGGCGAUGGUGGACAGGAAGCCCAACUCCUGCCCCCUGGAUAAUUCUUCCCUUGGUGAUGUCUAAUCCUGGAUGGAAUCAGUUCAAGAUGAAUGCCAGCUUCAUACAAGAGCCCUACCAGGCUUGGCCUGAGAGAGAGGUGCCAUCAACUACCAAGAGUGCGUACUAAAUGGCCUGUUUAUGGAAGAGAUUCUCAAAAGGAAGCCCAAAGCCCGGGAAGAAAUGAUGGACCGGAAACCACAGGUCAUGCAAGUUAAGGUCACAGGUUUCUUUGUUCCAGACUCUCAGCACCCAGGCUACCCUAGUGGGCCAUGAGAUCCCUUUGCCACACCUUGGCAUACACCAUUAUGACUUGGGAAGCCAACACUGUAUUUGUGUCAUUUCUCUAGACUUUCUAUUUGUCAAGACAAACUCCUUGUACAGUCCUAAAGGAAGCUCCCUGGGGACAGAGUAUUGCCCCUCAUAGGGGAAAGGAGUUUGAUCAGAGAACACACAUUUAAACUGAUGGCAGCUGGUUGCAGUCCCUUCCUACCAAGUGACUUAUAGGGAGACUCCUGCAGGCUCUCCAGAGGUAGUGAGGUCCUUAUAAAAUGAGGUCCUGGCACAUGGGAACAGUCUUCCCAUCGGUUUGCCUCCAUUGCUUUUCUUCCAUUUAUUGCUUGAAUUCGGUGUUUUAGGCCUGGAAUUCACUACAUAACUAAAGCCCCCAGAAUUGAAUGCAUGACAAUAUCCCUGCCUCAGACUUCGGGAAUGGGCGAUGCUGAGCUUAGAGUUUGCUUUCUUUCCUUUUGAAACUUUUUAUUUUGUUUUUAUAUGUGUACCUGAAUAUAUGUAUGUGUAACAUAUAUAUGCAGGAGCCUGCAGAUGUCAGAGGAGAGACCAUUUAAUCAUCUGGAACUAGACUUAUAGAUGGUUCCGAGUCAAUCUUGUGGGAACUGAGCCCAGCUCUUCCGAACGUAUUAACUGCUGAACCAUCUAUUCAGUGCCCACCCCCGGCCCCCAAAUCCAUGGUUAGCUUUCUUGACACUGAGACCUAUAAGGGAAUAUUGCUCUUAUUGAGGAAGGGCUACUGACCUCAGCCAGCUCAGGGAUGGUUGUUCACUUGGCUAGAAGGAAAAGCAAGGAGUGUGACCAAUUCUUCUAACACUUGAUCCCCAAUCCAUUCUUAGGAAGACUUCCUGGAUGGUGGAUGGCUCUGAGAAGGCGGGGCCCACAGAUGCUCAGGUUUGGUGCCUGCAGAGUGGUAAUCCCUGGUGUUCUUGGCUUUAUUUACGCUGAUCAUACAAUGAUAGACCAGUUCUCGGUGCUGCUGUAGAGGAGGAGAGCUUGGCUUCGGCAACUAGUCCAGGUAUGUACCAUGGCAGUCAUACAUUUCCAUUAUGGUGUGUGGUGUAUCUGUGCUCCCUGACAAGAGUCUAACCUCUGAGGGAAGUGUUGUGAUAUUCUGGAGGGUGCUGGUAUCAGUACCAAACCAUCAUGGGAGGGAGAGAAUCACGCAGCAGAUAAUGUCUGUUUCCUGCUUUGGGUGAACGAAUCUUGCUCCUUGGUGAUUUGAAUGAGUGUAUGGAGACGGGCCAGGCCAGUGUGAGGGCUUUCUGGUGUUUCCCUGGUGGGAACAAACUAACUGGCACUUAAGUGCUAACUCAUUUGCUUUUGCUCCAGAGAAGAGUCUUUGACUGACACAUCUUGCUGGAAAAGAAAAGGUUUCUGUCUGUCUUGCUUCACAGUGGGAAGUUCGAGGGGAAAUACCUGAGUUUUGUUUCUGAUGCCUGGCGCUGGGCUUUCUCAUCUGCAGGAGGGUUGCUAUCCUGGCUGAUGCUGGGAAAAGGCUAAUGCCUUCCCAUGACUCUCUUUGGGCAUUUUGAAUUUUUUUUUUUGAGUUAAAUUCUCAUUAAUAUCCCAACUCCGUGCUCCACAAAUUGGUCAAGGACAGUGAAAAGAGAAUCCGUGUGGGCUGUUGAGCAUAUCCUGGAGAGCUGAUAAAGAUAUCACCAGGAUGAGAGCUCUUCCCACUGUGGAAAUACGGAGGCUGUGUCGUGCCUUCAGAGGGCUAGCAGGUGUACCUAGGGACCGAAUGAGCCAACAUCAGAUUUGAGCAUGACGGAAGAGGAGGGGCCUAAGGUAGUCCAAGUGUGAUGUUGCAGAACCGUGGUCCUCAAGUGAUUCAGUGGGCUGCAGGGAGCACCCUUGCUGGUAUCAUGGCUCUCUCUCACCUAAGGCUAUGACCCUGGGAGUUCUGAAAGGCUGGUGAGAUGGAAGCAAGGGUAACAGAAGAUGAGGACGUCCUAGGAGUGAUGUUGGAGGUGUUGAUGAGACAUCAAUAAAUGGGUUGUUACAAACACAAAAUAGAGGUGGGGUUCUACCCACUCCUAGCCAGAACUGUAGAAAAUAAGAUGAACAAUUCCCAUGUCCUCAGGAAAGAGCCAGGUUUCCAUCAGGGUGGAAGGUGGAGCUAUGGAAAAGAAGUGAAGCCUUGAGGGACUUUGCUAGUGGAAUAUGUCUUAUGGAGCAAUGGAGGCAAGUGGGACAUGGAAGGGUGGGAGACAGGGUCUUCCUGGAGCUUUGGGAAGCUACCCUGAGGAAUAGUUCGCUUCCCAGUGGCUAGCCACUAGAAUCUGGAAAUGGUACCUGGUCCUACUAGUACAUGGUUGCUUCUAGGUGGUAGGUAAGCUAUUUGUGAUGGUAAUCUUCUUGAAAAGUGAUUUCUUAGAGAUAAGACAGUAGUGGAACACUGGAAGUGGUAGUGGAGGAUCUCCUGGGAUCGUGAAGAGCUCAGUGAAUCUUCUUUUGAUCCAUAUGAGGAUGCUAGUAACAUCAGUUGGGCUUUUCUGCAAUGGGACUUUUAUAGUCCCCUUAGGAGCUUGACAUGGCUGGUGGCUAACCGUGUGUGCACCAUUGAGAAAUCCAAGUCCCCAUUCACAUACCCCAGGGUCUAUAUACCUGCAGAGGACUCCUGACCUGCAGCAAGUGGGCUCCCCUUCUCAUCUUGAAAAUCUCCCAGUUUGGACUCUAGAACCAAGGAAGACAGAGAAAGGGGACAAUGUUGGCAUCAUUGCAAGGGAGGUGAGUGGCCACCCUUGCCCCACUCCAGUGUGUUUCUAGAGCACUUGUCCCCCACCUCACUAACACUCAGCAUCCAAUCUGCCUGCAGGUUGGUGGUUGGAAACCAUAGCCCUUGGAGAAAUGGAAGGGGCCCUUUGUCUGUCUUGUCUCUGCUUUUCUGUGGUACUUGAAGAGAAGUUGUUCGUGGUGGAUUCGCUUUACUUGUGACGAAUCAUUCACGGACAACACUUUUUUCAGUACCAAAUGCUACCUCUAAGGACUUCCUGGACAUGAUGGCAGCUUGCAGAAAGAUGGCGGUUCAGUCAAGUUGGUAGAGAAGCCAAGUAUGGAUGUUUGGCCAUGGACAGUAUGCUUGAGCUAGCUGUAAGUCACCUGGUCGGGUUACCUGAGCAGCUGAUCCAUCUGUAGGCCUCUCAUCAGUGGGCCAUGCCAACCUUGGUGAGGCAGCUGUGGCUCUGGCCCCCGGUAUCACCUUAGAAGACUUUGAAAAGAGGUCAUCUUCCAGAAGAGAUGUUGGUGCCAGCACCAUUCAGGGUGUGUGACUGGUUGACCAGAGGGGCGUGCACUUUGUUCACCCUGUGGGCCACCUAGUCACCAACCCUCGGCAUCAAUUCCACUAAAGAAGACUUUCCAGAGAUCCUGCCAAGUUUGGGGAUGUUUCAAUGGACUUUCUUGAUGGCUGUGCCUGCUCGGUGGACCAGAAUGAACUGUGGUCUUAGGGGUGUAUGUUUACAUAAGAUGCCAUGAGGCAUCCGUGGUAGCCGCGGCAUCACUGUCACAACCUACUUGAAAUGUUGACUUCAGAUGUGGACAUGAUGUUGACUUCCUAGGAGGGACCUGAAAUCCCUUCUCUCCUGGGUGUGUGACUGAAUUAUACUUUACUAAAGCACGUGCCUCACUUAUCCGAUGGAUCUAUCUUCUGGCUGUCUAACCUCAGUAUCCUGUCUCUCUACAGGAGAGUGUGAGAUGAUACCAACCUUGAGAAGCAGCCACUGUUGUCCUGACAUCACCACACUACCCCAAGAGCUUCCAGAGUAUGUUCUCUUCAUGGAAACUGUGAACUGGUGCGCCCUCUGGUCUAGGAAGACUAAGCAGGUUCAAGGCCAUAUACACAUCCCCCUUCAGGUAAGUGUGCCUCGGGUGAGCAUGCACUUAACGUAGGUGUAUGUCACUCGGCUCGGCCCACUACCCAACGCGGCCCCAACUCCUUCUUCACAGGACAGUGGAAGUGGUCACCUUUCCGAGAGAGUCGAUGUCGUCUUCUCCACCAGUGAUCAUGUGUGAUACUUGGAGAGAGGCUGGCCGUGAUGAAUUCGAUUCAUCUAAACGAGUCAUACACGGCUCUCCUCUCUUCUAGUGUCAAACUCUACCUCAGAGGUCUUCUUGAGCCAGUACUGUAACCAAGGUGGGUUUCUGAACAUCCAAUUGCAUAUUUCACACACUAACCCCAGUGUCCAAGCUAACUCUCCCAUGACUUCUUUGGAUAUUUCUGAUGUUUAGAAAGACCAGAGACAGUGUUGGGAGGUUCUGUUUAAAUGUUUAAAUACACUGGCUAGCUUCUGUCUUUAUUAGUACCUAAAUCUACCAUGGAAGGACAACUAGAAGCAACCUUGGUUAGUUAACCUUCAAGAUACAGAAUAAAAUGGGAGCUGGGCUUCAUGAGUCCAUGUUGAGUUAUAUGUAGCCACUCCAUACCCUGAAGUGAAGAAACUGAAGGUGAGCAUAUCCCCAGGACAACCUGCUUUGCAAACUGUGGUGCCACCUUUCUCUUAGUAAACAUCGCGUGACAAGUCAAAAAUCACCUUCCUCUUGGCACUUAUUUGGGGCUGAUAAACCAGAGAUUGGCCAGAGAACAUGGGUCUGACUGGGACUUAAGCCACCUGGUCCACUUAUUCUCAGGGUCCUGUCCACUCUCAGAGGCUACUCCCAAGGUGCCCCACUCUAAAGAAGAUGCAGGAGUGCUGUGAGAAGUGCCAUCCCCUGGUCCUUGGAGGGAGGUUGUCCAUAGUGAGUUUGCAUUAAUUAAUGAUGCCCAAUGCAGGGUCGACCUCUUUUCUGUGUCACAUCUCACCAGGCACUUCCUCAGAUCUGAUACCAACCAUGAGGAAGCCACGUUCAUGGUGGGUUUUGUACCAUCGUCCUUGAACAUGUAGUUACCUCCAGUGUUCCCUGACUCCAUCCAGUUCCUUCAUGGAGGGCAAUCCCAGGACUGAGGAAGAUACCCAUGUUACAAACUUAAGGCAUGGAUGUGGUGGCGCUCAUGGUACCUUAGCUUUUUUUUUUUUAUCUGUUUGUAAAUAAAAGUAAGAAAUUUUGCCCCCUCUUCCACUAUCAAAUUUUGUCUUAUAGGAAGGACUUCUUAUAUCUGUUGAGAAAUCCUGGAAUGGGGUCCAGUGGUCAGCAUUCUUAAGGGUGAGGGUAUAAAUAAGUGGGUCAACUGAGAUGUCAGAAGAAAUUUGAGGACCGCAGAAGAACUGUUUUCCAUUUCUUCAUUUUCUUUGUAUAAAGAGGAUUUAUUCUACUUAUUACUAUAUUUAUUAAAAAGAUGUAUGCCUGUGAUAAAAAUAAAAGCAAUAUGAAACAAUUAAAUUAAAGAAAUUAGAAAAGUUUCUACCCACACAUAAAUAACUUCAGCAAUGUCUAACUCCUUUCAGAGACUUACAUACAAAUGGAAAGAGAGGUAAGGAGAAAGCUAUUUCACAGGACAAAUCUACCCUGUGUCUAAUCAAGUUACUUAAAAUAUAAAUUAUACCAUUCACUUGUGCUUACCCUAAAGAACAAUGUCAAGAAGACUUAAUAGAUGUCUCCUAAAAGAUCCCAACACAGCUGAGAAUGGUGACAUCGAAAGCACGAAGUCGUUGAGAUCAGACUCUGCUGCCUCUGACUGCUUUACUACUGACCACUUGUUUUCUUUAAACCGGGGCUUCUAUCUCUCAGCUCUUGGUUCCUCUCUCAAUGCAAUGAGGAUUUUUGUCACUUCUACAAGAAUGGCUCACAGAUACUACCCUUCCUCCCCUUUCCGUCCCCUCCCCAUUGCUCCUCUCCUCUUCUUUUUUCUUUUCUCUAAAAUGGGGGUGGGGGUGGAGGGUGGAACCCAUACCUUCACACACACAGAGAGAAGACUCACUCACUGGGGUGUACCCAAGGCUAGCUCUGUUCUUGUGUACCCAAGGCUAGCUCUGUUCUUGCUCACAUUCUUGACCUCAGGACUCCAUAUCCUAGGAACCUGCAACUAGUGUAGCCUCUGGUACUGUUCGCCUACGUCCCUCAGGGGCAGGGCCAGAACCUGUUUUGAGUUAAGCUCUCUCUUCCUUUAACACACAAGGGUCUUCCUUUCCUUCAUUUGUAGCUGUACAUUAUACAACGGAGUUGAGCUGUGGGUGAAUGUCUCCCAGGAUUUUUACAUAUGUGUGGAGGUUUCUCUAUGUAGCCUUGUUACUGGGUUGGGCCUUUAGCUGAACAGUGGAUGACCCUGGGUGAAAUCCAUGGGUUCCUUCUCCUUUGCUGUCUGCUGCUCAUAGCCUUAGAAUAAUAGUCUGCUUGCUGCCUGAUAUCUGAACUACACAUCCUCCUUGCUUUUGAACACUGGGGACUCUACCAGUUACUGUCAGGUUUAUUAUUCCCCCUCAAUUGUAACUUUUAUUCCUUCUUUCUUAUUGCUAGUUGUAUCCUUUAAAAGAUGCUCUCUUGACUUCUUUUCUUGGCUUGAAAGAUCCAAGCUGUUGGCCUCACUCUUUAGUCAGUGCUCCGCCUCCUACUGCUGCGAUCUUCACUGCAGCCCUCCCUGGUGCCAUUGGCAUCCUAAAUUUGUUUAGUUAAAGGCAUAAGACCCCCCCUUUCUCACUGUCACUUUCCACCUUGGCAGGAUGCCUAAUUGCAAUGCCAGCUUCUGGGGUGAACAUGGACCCACUGUCAUCAGGCAAGGUCUAGGAUGGACGUGGACCCACCAUCCUCGGGGAGGUUCUGAAAUGGACAUGGACCCACCACCAUCAGGCAGGUUCCGGGAUGGACAUGGGCCCCCUGUCUUCAGGUAGCUAUGUGGAUUUACCAUCAACCAAGCACGUUUUGUUUGUUCAUUUCUUUGUCAUCUCAUGUUCGGUGGACCAUUAGCUAAAGAGUACAGUGUAUCGGUAGGAAGGUACCCUGAACGUUUGCUUACCCUGAGAGAUGAGGCCAUGACUCGAAGGUCAGCGCCAUUUAGUGCUGACCUUAUUUUUAUGACGAGUAGUGCUGAGUCGGCCUCUCUGUGAGCUCUCCAGUAAAUUCCUAGACACAAAGCCUAUGUAAGGUGAGCUGUGAUGGCAGUGCCGGACUCUUCCCUCCCAUCAUGAACAGGAUGAAAUCUAGGACCUCCAUCACCAGACCCCGUAAGGACCCUUAGGCACUGCAUCCUUGGCAGUGGUGCCAAUGCUAGGUGACCAUAGGCCUCAGGGGGAAUGGGUUGGAUGUGGGGUGUGUGAUGCUUUCUCAAACCCUCUCGCAGUCAACGCAGUCACCUGCUGUGUUCACUGUGCUUGGGGGACUUCCUGGAGGAAGCCAGCUUCAGAGAAGAGAUGCUGGUGCCCAUGUGCGGUGCUUGAAGAUAGGUUAUCCGUGUUGCCUUCGCUUUAUUCGUGACGAAUCAUACACGGUUGACCUAUUUUUCAGUACCAAAUCCCGCCUUGGAGGAAUUUCUGGGGUGGGACUGUGGUGUUAGCGCCUCUCCAGGGUAAGUGAAGGGAUCGUUCACCAUGGGCGGAUCUAGUAACAGGGAAUGCUGUCCACGCCCAGUGUGUCCCUGGUUCUCUGGUGGACUCAGGGAGAGAGGUACCUACUUUGGAAUGAGGUAGAGUAUUCUGUAGUCAUUCACUUUAUUACUUCAACAAAUCACAUAAAGUCCACCUUCUAGGGUGUAAAAUGUGGCCCUCAAGCACCUUAAAGGUCAAGGUCAGAACUAGGGAUUGUAUUCACAGCAUCUACCAUAAUGUUUACAUCAGCCCCUUUGGCCAUGCAGUCUGGGCUCGGUAGAAGAGGCCAUUGAGUUCCCUGGCGUUGUUCUGAUAAGAGGCCUUCCCACUGCUCUCUAGGACACACCCACAUGGGCAUGGCGAGCCCAUUUCCAAUGGCUACUGGACAGUGACACUAACCACAGGCAGGAGACAAGAAGUGGCCCGAGGCCACAGGGCAUGUGUCAUAUGGCUAGAAUAUGUAGCCAUCAGCCCACCUCUCAGGGACUCCAUCUUCAGGUCUGUGGCCUGAGACGUAGCAAUGCAAGCUCUCGAAAUCAAGUGUUCGAAUGGAGGUUGUCCAUGGUGUGUUCAUUUUAUUUAUGAUGAGUAUUACAUGGCCAAUCUCCUUUCGGCACUAAAAUCUUCCUGGGAGAGCUUCUCCGACUGUGCAGGUUAGGGGAACAAAUUGUUUCCUGCCCUGAGUGCUUUUUCUGGGACUUAUGUCACCUGGUUGUCAAUGUAAGAUUUCCCAGAAAUGACACCGACUAUUUCAGUGGCUCUGUGGUUGUCUGACCAUAGUUACAAAGAGCAGAGUACAUUGUGGCAAGCACUGUACUGAGAUAAGGAAACAUCGCAGAUUUAGGCAUAUGGUAGGGAAAGACAAAUUUCAGUCACCCAUGGGGUGGGGCCAGCUUACAAGCCACUCGGUUACUCAUUCAUCACCAGUUUCACCAGUUUUCUAGUCCAGGGGUGAUCUCUAGGAAGUAGAACCAGCUCUCAGGCUGGCGGAGGGGAGGGGCAUCUCACAGUGACAUUUAGUGACAUGAGAAUGCUGAUGUCCUUCCCCUGCUCCAGUGUCCCUUGGGAAGGAGAGGACUCAGCAGCAUUCAUUACCACCUGAUACUUGCUAAUGGUGUGACCUUGAAUGAGUCAGCCUGUCAUCUGUCUGUGCCUCCGUUUGUCUGUCUGAGAGUGUUAAUGGCUGCUUAUAAGGUAUGUAUACACGCUGAAUGUCUGCUCAGUAUUUUGACAGAGCCCGGCUUCCCCCAGAAAGUUGGAAAACCACUGGCUUUUAUAAUGAUGGUCAUUGCAUGAAUGUAGUUACUCUGUGGAUCUGUUCCCACCCUCUGGAACACAGGUUCCUUAAGCACAGAAGCCGUGUCGAAUGCUCGUAGGUGUGCCCGGUACGAAUGCUAUUGAUUGAAUGGCAGUUUGACAUGUUCUCUUUGUCAAACCCUCUUUGAGGCCUCUCGGAAGCUGGAGAGAAAGGAGGACGAUCCGGAAGCCUUGUACCCUGAUGCUGCUGGUUUGUCUGUGGGGUCUUGCUCUCCUCUCAGGAUGCUUCCCUAGAAAGGGAGUCAUCCACUUUUAGGUCAGCCUUCAUUGGUGGGCAGAAUGGACCCUACCACACAGAUAGUCAUGGUUUCUUCUAUGUCAAACCUACCUCAGGACUUCUAUGGCAGAUAUUUUGGGAUUCAGACUUGAUGUCCAUGUGCUUCUGGGUGAGUGACCAAUUUCUGGCCAAAGCCUGGACAUCUGUACAAGUCUCUGUCCACUCGUAGGCAGGAUAGACCUUGGCAAUGCCAGUCCAAGAUAGUCUGCCUUAUAGUCAGACUUGGGGGACUCAUUGGAGGUAACGGCAACCUCCCUAGAGGGUGGGAGUCAGGGAGCCAGAGCCGAGGGAGGCAGAGGUGCCUGGAGAAGAGGCACCCUGCGGUACUCUCGGCCUGUGCUGACGUUUGAUUCUUGAGCAGAGGUUGCCCUUGGUGAAUUCGCUUUAUUGAUGUUGAAUCACACAAAGGCAACUUUUGGUUGAGUAUCAAAGCCUGCUUGGGGUGGCAUUGGGGACAGGAUACAAAGUUCUGGGUCUCUGUUUGUGCCAUGCGCUAGAAUGGAUGGCGUGGAUAUGGGUAUCAACAGGAAAGGAUGUGGCUCAGAGAAUACCAUGUGACCAGACACGUAGUCCCAGGAACCCAGGAAGAGAUGGCAGUGUCUUCUCAGCCUGAAUCCUCUUUGUCACACCAGCACCUAGCCCCGCCCCCGGUUGCAGACAGUUCUAGCUCUAGUAGAACUAGAUGCAGUAGUUCCAUCUCUACUCUGAAGACACCUUGACUAAAUGAACUCUCUCCUUUGACAGUGUCAUGGACAAUGGCAGCCUUUCCUCCCCACCCCCUUCCUCUCCCCAACUCACUGGGUCAGAAGCGCUCACACCCCAUCUGUUUUCUCCCCUACCCCCACCCCGCCCCACCCCCUCAACCCUCUUCUGUCUGCUUCUCUUUCUUCCUCAUCGCUUCCUCGCCAAACCUUGUUCUCCAUUUUUGGAUGGGUUAGGAAAUGAAUAGAGGCGACCAGCAUUUCAGUCCCAUUUACAUUAAAUAAUAGUGAUAGAAUAAUCACAAAAUAACACCACAAACCACCAGAAUGGCUCGGAGGAAAAUGUGUUCAAUUGACUACAAAUUGGCAGAAGAAUCCAAUUUUCUUGACAACAUUUUAGCUAGGACAUUUGACCUGGGGAAACAGUACUCUGUAGACAUGGCAGCCGCAAGGGGCAGCUUCGAUAGUGGCAGAUGCUGUGAGCAGUAAUAUUUGCGGUAGACGAACGCACAUUGAGGAAUCAAAUCUUCGUUCAGAUUUUUAAAUGGGAAAGAAUUGAUCCUAAUGAAAAUGAUUUGAGGAAAUAACAAGGGAAAUAAAAUAAAUGAAAAUGGCCCAACAGCACAGUCAAGGAAGCUAAACAGGGAAUUGGAUUAGUUUAAUGGAAUUUACUUAAAAAAAAGGGGGGGAAGAAAAGAAAAGCAUGUUUUUUAUGAAAAUCAAUGUGGGUACAGUUUUUGGUCAGAUGUCGAAAUCCAGGGGUUUAGACUAGAGCCAGUGGGGCCAGUAGGAAGACCUGGUCAUAGUACAGGUCCUUUAUGUGGCUAAACUAUAUUUUUCUGUCCCAAACCUUCACAGAGAGCUUCCUAGACAAAUGUGCUGACUGGAGUAUUGACAAGCUGGCAGGAGGACGUGACUGGGUACAAAUGCCAGAACACACACCCUAUAUGCAGUCUUCUUCACUUUCCUCUCUCCUUGUGAAACAUUCUGGGUUCUUUACCGAAGGACCUCAGAGUCUACAUCAUUAUCUUGGAAGCUGGUCAGUGGCUGGAGGAAGAAUCUGGACAAGUUUCCAAAUGCCGUUAACUGGAUCUUGUAUCUACUGCUAGCCACCAUCUUCGCCACUGUGUGAUUCUCAGGAGCAUUUCCAGGGGGUGAUAUCAGCUGGGGGAAGAGCCUCUGUUCUACAGGACAGCUUCAGGUGGUGAAUUCCAGCCCCAGGGGUGCUCCGGUCAACACUGGGUACUUGAGGAGAGGUUGUCUGUGAUGAGUUCGCUUUAUUAAUGACGAAUAUAACACAGAUGGCCUGUUUUCAAUACCACCUGCCACUCCUGUCACUUGGCAGUACAUGCCAGGUGUCACAGCACUGCCCGGUAGGUAAAUGCAUGCAUGGACUCUGUCUGACGCUUCUCACCCCUCUUCACUGAACCUCAGCUCCACAUCCAUCCUGAGGAGCUUCCUGGGAUCACACCAACCUUGUAGGCUGGGCCAGGAAGCACCGGGCUGAUGUAUGAUGGAUGACUGGGAUCUCUGUCCAUUUUCCGUGCCUCUCGCCUGCCACUAGAGUGGGUGUUUGUUCCUGUCUAAGGCAUUCCACUGAGGGCUGCAUGCCCGCAUGCCCUGUACCCUGGGUGGCUUCCCGAUAUCGUGAGUGCUUGGUGGGCUGGCAUAAUGCUUAGGGAAGAACCAGGCCAGUUGGUUACACCUGCAGUUCCCAGUAUCUGAGGUGAGAUUGCCAUGAUGAGUUUCCUUUUUUUUUUUUCUUUUUUUUUUUUCGGAGCUGGGGACCGAACCCAGGGCCUUGCCCUUGCUAAGCAAGCGCUCUACCACUGAGCUAAAUCCCCAACCCCGAGUUUCCAUUCUUAAUGGCAGUACAAUGCUUGGUCAGCUCUCUCUAUCAUUGGCUCUUAUGUGAGCCUGGGUGUCAGGGGAGGGACAUAUGUUGCUGAGCCACUGGACACAGCUGAUAGUCAGGCAUGUAUCUGACUCAUCCUGAGGUGAGGAUUGGGAAGUCCAGAAGGGCAUCUUAGAGGAAGAAGCAUCCUAUGUAGGUAGGGUCCAUGCUAGUGGUAGCACCUGAAAUAGGUUGUCUCUGAGACGUUUGCUCUGUUUUUUUUUUUUUUUAUGAUUUUAAUUUUUUCAUUUUAAUGAUGUUUAUUUCUUUUUGUUCUAUGUGCGUUGGUGCUUGUCUGCAUGUGUGUCUGGGUGAGGGUGUCAGAUCACUUGGAGCUGGAUUGCAGACAGUUGCAAGCUGCCAUGUGGGUGCUGGGAAUUGAACUCUGGUCCUCUGGUGUCUGCUUUCUUUUUGAUGACUGUUCCACCGCCUGCUUCUUCCUUGUACCGUAUCCUACCCUAGACCGUUUCUGCUUUGAAGCGUUGACACCAGCAACAGAAGCAUUUGUGUAGGUUGACGUCUGUAUGUGAGACCACCCCUUGGCCUGUCAUGUCCCCAGUUCCACUCUGUUGGAAACGGCACAGAAUGUCCUCCUGAGUCUAUGAGGCAGUGACACCCAAGCUCUGUCUCUAUCACUUUAUGGUCUGGCUCUAUCAGACGCCCGUGAGCUUACCAUAGAGGCUUGACCUGGAGAUUCAGGGACCCCAGAAAGUAGCUGAUCAUGCCGAGUAGGAGCCUUUGAAAGAUAGGCUAUAGAGUGUGGGUAUUCAGCAAGGCCCCAGGGUAGCAGAGAGUUCUUUCUGAUUAGGUUUUCCCCACAUCCCUCAUCUACUGGAGCCAGCAGCACCCUCACUCUGGCAACUCCACCCUGUUUUCUCUUCUCUUCUGGGCCUCCUCAGCAGGAAAAUGCUCUUCCAGCAGAGAUAGUGAGCACCCUGGCUUGGACCUAGCACAUGGCCUCCCUUAGAUUUCUUCCUCUUGUUCAGGAUGGUCUGCCCAUGCCCCGCCCCCUGGGAGCUGGUCCUGGUUGCUGUCUCCCCAUAGCCCAGCCCUCUUCCUUGGCCCUCAUGCUUGCACUCCCCCCUCACAGGAGUUCAAGACUCCAAGGGGGGAUAGUGAUCUCUGUCCAGCAAUGCCAUUGCCAGCAGCCUGACACCACAAUCCAGCUCCUUCCUUUGUGAUCUGCCUCCGUCAGUCUGCUUCUUAGCUAUGGCUCCUGAGGUGCCUGCUGUCCCAAACUGCCUAGUACUGUCUACAUGCUCCCAGCCUCUCUCCCCCCCCCAACAACAACAACAAUAAAAAAGCUAUAAUAUUUCCCAAGACAGGGGUGGACCUUUCCUUCGCGUCUAUCUUUUUCCCUUCCUCCCUUUUCCUCUGUGCCCCUUCCCUCCCUCCCUCCGUCUUACUUCCUUGACUUAGCCUCUGCUGUAUUCUAAGCCUUAGGAUCCAGGCCAGGCCUAUAGUGACAGAAUAAUGGAGUGUGCUGAUUGACUAAUAGAGUCCCCAAAGGCGGAAACCAUAUUAGGUUAAUUCCCAGGAAAGUGGUGAGCAUAAAGCAGGAAUUCCAUAAGAUGUGGUGGCUGAUUCCAUAAAUAUGGAAGGCGGGUUUGCAUAGCCUUUGCAUGCGUUAGAGGCCUCCCGCCCCAGCAUGCCGCUGAUUUCUGAGACUUGCUGCAAUAGGGGACAGGCAGGUCAGCCAGGUCUGUGGGCUUUUCUUUACUUUCGUAGCCGGGGUCUCAGGCUAGACUUCAAAUUUAGCUGUGCAAGCCCCACCCUCCCCUCCAUGAAUGCCUCUGUGGCAGUGAGCCAGAGGCCCCUUGGAGGCCCCUGUGCAGCAGGCCUGAGCUGCUGUCAGGGCUAAUAUUUUAUGCAUGGACCUAAGUAAAUGGGAACAUUUGGAGAUGGAAAUUGCUGUUAAUGACACAUCUUUGGAAUAUAUUAAAUGCGUGCGAGAAGGCUGCCGAUCUCUCCAUUUAAUUGCGCCAAUGUAAGCGCAGCCACACCACAGCAUCCGCAGAUAGGCUGCUCCAAGUCUCUUCACCACUGAUGGGGAAAAUCCCAGGUACCUCACCCACCCAGGGAGAAUGAUGCACUGGAUGGACUGUCAGCUGGGGUGCCAAGCGAUCUCCAACACACAUGCAUUCCAAACUCAUUGGAGACCCAAAGAGGAUGAUCCCUCCCGCCUGGGGCAGACUUUUAUUAAAAGCAAAAUUACUAGAUUUAUCUAUUGUUUGAGGAGAAGGAAAGAUAAAUAAAGGACUUUUCUCAUCCAUUGAGUCAAGUGAAAGUGCCUGUCCCUCAGGCAGGCAGGAGGAAAGUCCCUGGGGUCAGAGAAUUCGCCAUCUCUAAGAGAGUGUGUUAUUCCAGUGCGCCAAGGUCACAGAACACAGGCUACUUCUCUGUGCCCGAUAGGUGAUAAAGCCAGUUUGCCUGUCCCAUAGUUUCUUGGAAUGCGGUUAGACUGAGCCAGUGGUCCGUCCCUUUAAUAUUUUCAAGGAGAUGGUGUGUGUGUGUGUGUGUGUGUGUGUGUGUGUGUGUGUGUGUGUGUGUGCAGGGGAUGGGGAGGAUUAAGUACUGGCUGUCCCCAGGAAGCAUGUGUGGAGGGUGAGGAUGUUUUUCUCAGAGGUUGAGCUGUCUUCCCAAGAUCACACAGCUGGAGACAGGGCUCUAGCCUGUAUGUUCUUAACAUCUUUGUGCUGGCUUACGUACCUCGAACGGUGACCCCAUGUGCCAUAGGUGACAGACAGCUCAUUGACCUGUUCUCUACGUUCGUUCUGUACAGUGAGGCAGGCUCAUUUUCCUCCAGACAUUGCUUAUCAGAAUUGUCAGGAUGGUCUCUUUUCCCUUUUAGUUUACCUGUUAACUAAGAUGCUUUCUUUCAUGUGUGGCCUGAGGAGAGGCUGCCUACUCCAUCAGAAAACAAUCUCUCUCUCUCUCUCUCUCUCUCUCUCUCUCUCUCUCUCUCUCUCUCUCUCUCUUUGUAUGUGUGUGUGUUCUGUCUCUGUCUCCCCCUCUCUGUCUCUGUCUGUUUCUCUCUCUCUCAAUCUCUCUCUCUCUCCCUCUGUGUGUGUGUCUGUCUGUCUCUCUCUUUCUCUCUCUCUGUGUAUGUGUCUGUCUCUCUGUCUGUCUGUCUGUCUGUCUCUCUCUCUCUCUCUCUCUCUGUAUGUGUGUUUCAUCUCUGUCUCCGUCUCUCAAACUCACACACUCUCUCUCUCUUUCUCUGUGUGUGUGUGUCUGUCUCUGUCUCUCUGUCUCUCUCUCUGUAUAUGUGUCUGUCUGUCUGUCUCUCUCUCUGUAUGUGUGUGUGUUUCAUCUCUGUCUCCGUCUCUCAAUCUCUCUCUCUCUCUCUCUCUCUCUCUCUCUCUCUCUGUGUGUGUGUCUGUCUGUCUCUGUCUCUCUGUCUGUGUCUCUGUCUCUGUCUCUCUCUGUGUGCGUGUGUGUGUGUGUGUGUGUGUGUGUGUGUGUGUGUGUGUGUGUGAGCCUGAUGCAUCUGGCCAGUGGCUGGCAAGCUGCAACAUUAUCCUGGGUUGUGUGCGGAGUGGGCUAGGGCAGUCCUAGAGAUAGCGUUGCUCAUAUGAGGUUGACCCAGUCCCCAAGUUUGGUCCCUCCUGACCAGUUUCUCUUAUUAUACCUUUGAGCAGCUAAAGACUGAGGACUGUGGAAGGGAGAGCCCUGCUCCUUUGCAGUGGGGAUUUGGAAACAGACGCACAUAAUAAGUCAAUAAGGUUUCUUUGUCAAGACUUGAAAGGCUGUGAACCCUUCAAGCUGCUCAUAGUAGAUGCUCAGAAAAUGUCUGUCUUCUUUGCAUCAAAUGGGCUUAGGCACCAGCACCAAGGAGGUGAAGGAUGGACGGCUGCGGGGGAGCUCAGAGAAUGUUUGUGGAUUGAAUAAGUAAAAGCACACCCUUUCGGAGGAAAUUAAGAAGCAGAGAAAGGAAGAAACAGCCGGGGAAGACAAUAUAAAUCUCUAGCAGCGUUACCAACGCCACAGCUGGGGCUGCUAAAAAGACCCUGUGGAGGUGGUGGGGUCAUUUGUCAUGGGCGAGGACAGGCUUAAGGGCUGGGACACCGGGCUUGAUGGAGGCUCGUCCAUCAUUUUCUCAUUAUCCGUGCGACGUGGAGGGCAGCUAGCAGAUCACAGAAUAGCAGCCUCCCCAAGAAGGUGGCAGGGCUGUGAGUGUGAGGGACCCCGAGGGAGGGCAGGCUGCCCCAGGCCCUGCCCCCUCCAGGAAGCCUUCUUGCUCCAGCCCCACACACGAUCUCAAUCUCCCUUGUCCUCCUCUGAUGUUCACCGUGUGAUCUUUUAUCAACGCAACUAUGGAGGGGCCCUUGAUAGCUUGUUCCCAUGUGUCCCUGUGCUUGCCUAGGUUUGGUGUAGGGGGAGACACUGAAUGCUUGACGGCCCUGUCUUUCCAUUUUUUAGGCAGGUGACACCGAAUUGGUCCUCAGGAGCAGAUGUCCAGGAACCCUGCCUACACUCCAUCCCAGCUGCUAGUCCUAGGUUGGGACACUCCACUGGGGUCGUCCAUGGGAAAGCUAUGGAUGUUAACCAGCCCUGAGGCCUGACCUGAAGCCAUCAGUGGCCGCAGCUGCCGUUCCUUGCCUUUUCCUCCCUGGAUCUCCUGAUUACAUCAACCAACAACAAAGAUGUCUGAGCCCAGAAGAUGCUCUCCACUGCCCACCUGAGAGGACUGGAACUUUCCAUGACCCAGUGGGAUCCAGUACCACCCCCCCCCCAACAAACACACACACACUACACCCUGUGCCAUCCACCUGAGUCCCCAACCCAUAGCCCCUGCUUCUCACCCAUUCCCCACGUCCCACCCCAAGCCUAGCAUUUCAGGCCUGAGCAGCCCUUGCUUAGGAACCUGAGGUGGGGGUGGGUAGGCAGACCCAGGGGACUGAGCAGGGCGGGGAAGGAGGGAUUUCUGCUCUUGGCUUUCAAAGUCUCAGUGUAUGUAGCCCUUUGAACAAUAAACAUAUAUCAUAAAAUGUAAA